Molecule: long non-coding RNA, 476 nt
Filed under: Mus pahari (shrew mouse)
Lineage: Eukaryota; Metazoa; Chordata; Mammalia; Rodentia; Muridae
Description: lncRNA (MGP_PahariEiJ_G0002914.1)
Source: RNAcentral
ACCGGGGCGCCGCUGAGCGAGGCGAGGUGACGGAACCGUCCCCGCAGUCCGAGCCCGCAGCCUGAAACCCGCAGCGAUGCCGCGGCCGACCUCCUCUGCGGAGGCUGACGCAGCGAUGCCGUGCGGGCAGCCGCAGCGGGGACACCGCGACGCCCGCCUCCUCCUCUGGCUCGGCCCCGCAGCCCCCGCCCUCCGCCGCGCCACGCAACGUCCUACCUGCAGGUGACCUGUUUCGUCCAGCCGCCGCCGCUGCCGUCGCUGCCGCCGCCCCCUCCUCCCGCCCCCGGGGACGGGGCAGCGACUGUGGGGAUAGAGGCACUGUCAGAAUCCCUGCUGAUGGAAGGGCCCAGGUGGGCCUGUGGCAGACAUCUUAGAAUCCCACCAAUGUCAAGGCUUGAGUAUCGCAACGGCUGCAAGUUCGAGCCCAGCCCAGGCUAAAUAGAGCCUGUCAAAAAUAAUAAGUCAUGAUGUAAAUA